AGGAGGUGAGUGGCUGCGAGGCUUCCCAAGGUCACUUUGGGCAGCAGAAGCAGCACGAGGUAGGGACAGCUCACAGCCUCCCCACCCUCCCCUGGCAGUCACCAGCUGGGGAUGUUCAUUUUUACAAGAUGAUUUUCUGGGUGAAGAAGAAAAUUUACCUUGGCAAGUAGCUCCGGAAAGAUAGCACUACCAUUAUAAAAGAAAGGAUGGAGGAGGCAAGUCAGAAUUUGCCAAUACAUCCUGCAUCUGGUCUGUGUCUGUGUGCCUCGGUUGUCCCUUAAUGUCCUGUGCUGGGACAGGGAGCUGCGGGCAGUGAUCUCUCCCUCCGCCUGACUGCUCGUCCUGCAGCAGGAGCUGGCAGCCUGGCCGAGAGCAUCCCUGUGUCAGCGUGGCCUGACCUGCCAGGCAGAUGGAGGUGUCAGCCGGAUCCAUGCUGCUCCAAAUCAUUUAUUCUUUUUGCUGCUCUUCUUCACAAAUUCCUUUUCAGCCACAGUUUCCAAAGUAAAGCAAACAGACCUUGCACUGGGAUGUCUUCCAAUGCAAAGAUGAGACAUGUUGCUUUUCUUUAACCGGUUUGUUUAAGAUAUAGAAGCCAGUAUCACAGUGGGCCAAGUUCCCUUCCCCUAAUAAAUUAUGGGCUGAUUUGUAAGACUGUGAAGCACUGCUGCAAAACCCCAUUAGCCCAGGGCACACUUCUGUCUUCCAGCACUGCUGCACCUUGAAAUGGUGGCAGCUCCACAAAUGUGCAGAUCAUCCUUGAGGAUCCCUUGUUGCACCCAGGCGGGCACAGUGGCAGCGCCCACUUCACAGUGCUUGAGCAUCUUCAAUGAAAGAGCCUCUAGCUAAAAGAGAAGCUGGAGGUGCUGCCAAGUUUUCAGAAUGCUUCUGUGCUGUAUAUCUCAGAGAGGUUUGCUCCCAGCCACACUGCAGAAUCCUGGAGUAUCUCACUGUGGUGCCAAAGAGUGAUUCUUCCUGGAAGGAAGGGCUAGAUGAAGUCAUACUCACCCCUGGCACUGCUCUGCUAAAGGAAGGUGCAAAUAACACAAAUCUGUGCCAUACGGCAUCUCAUGGUAUGGACCUGGGCAGCAAGAACACAGCCUUAGAACUGUGAGAUGCAGUACAGGGAAGAGACAUGUUGGUCUUGCCUGUUCUCAGAUGAAAUAAGCUUUAAAUAUUGCUCAGCUGACAACAAUGACAUGUCAAAAAGGUCCUGUCCUUCCCUUAUUUUUGAAUCUUUUUCCCUUCCUCUCACAGGUGAAGAACUCCCAACUGCCAGCCUCCACACCAUCUGCUCGUCUCUGGAUGUGCAACACUUCAGGGAAAGCUAAGUUUAACAUCAUUUUCAGCAGGUGACAGAAACUUUCUGCCUUUUGCACAAAUAUGAAAUGAUUCUGGCCAA
Oxyura jamaicensis (ruddy duck) is the source of this 1399-nucleotide long non-coding RNA. RefSeq lists it as uncharacterized. The record is from RefSeq and is a predicted model, not a curated record. NCBI's taxonomy places the organism in Eukaryota, Metazoa, Chordata, Aves, Anseriformes, Anatidae. The transcript is spliced from 2 exons.